AGUUGGCUAAAGAGGCAGUAAAUGAAGGAGGAAGCUCUGAUAACAAUAUUGAAGAAUUUGUUGCACGACUUGUUUGCAGUUAAUGUUGAUUAACAACAAUAAAAUCUCUCUAUUUCCAUUUCAUUUUAAUUUCAUAGCCUUUUAUAAUUGAGCUCCAAUCAAGUUAAAAUAAUCUUGUAGGACCAGAAAGAGAAUGGAUUUGCCUGCACCGGUUCCUUGUUAAAAUGUACUGAAGUCUAACUUAAAAUCCUCUUAAAUUUACAUCCAACUUUUAGUUAAUUUUAUUAAUAUGUUUAAUUGAAUGGAAGUUAGCAUGCUUUUGGCUAGGUUUUCUAUGACCCAAUUCCAUAGUUCUAUUGGAGUACAGUACUCUCCAAUAUGAUCCGGAUAGGGUAAAUACAUAUGUUUGAAAGAAUGAAAUAUCUUCAUUAAAGAAGGAUAAAUAAAUAAAAACAUGUAUGACUAGCAUCACACAUACCCAGGUGCUUAUAACAAUCAAAUUUCCUUUUUUUUUCCAAAAACAAAAUUAUGAGCAAAUCAAUAUUUAAUCAUAGGACUUUUCCAAAUUCUUCAAAAGAUACGAAGGAAACGAAGUUAAUUUAGAAAAAAAUUGAUAACUUAAAAAUAUCCUUAAAAUCAAAGGAAACGCACAAGCCGAAUGGAUUUGAACCCAAUAUGCGCAAUCCAAAUAUAUGAAACACCUAAACCACUAAUUGACCUAACAUCCUUUUUACAUACAAAGAACGAGAAAAUUCAAGUUAAUUAUGCUAAUCAAGCUUACAUAUGUUGCCGGUUGAUCCAUUACCUUAUAAUUUAAGCUUUUGGAUCAAUUAAUUACCGGCUUAACAUAUUAAUCUUUACUCUUUGUAAAUCUUGCGUUUUUCCAUGAAAUCUUGUCAUUCAGAACAAGUCUUUUUUGGUCAUAGCUAGCUAGCUACAAUGUUGUUUGAGUUGUUGAUUGAGGAAAGUGGACAAAAAUCAUAGAUGGUACUGAAGGAUAGAGUUAAUGAAAUCAUAUGAGUAACUCUUUUUAAAUAAGGGAAUGAAAAAAACAAGUAUAUUGAACAACUUCACAGUACAAUAUAUAAUACAUAUAAGGAAAAGGACCCUUCACCAACUUUUCUUCUUUGAAAGGGCUUUUUGAUCCACCAGUCAAACACCAAGUGAAAUGGUAGUUGUUUCACACUUGCAUAAUGAUUUUCUAGAUUUUUUUCAAAGAAGGAUUAAAAUGUUAAGGACCCUAUAAUAUUUUAAGCAAGGGAUUCAUUUGUAUAUUUAGCUAUGUUUCAAAUGGAAAAGUAUGUUUCAACUUCCUCCAACAUUGAUUGGUACUAUCUAUAUACUUUAUAGGUACCUACAAAAUGAGCUGACACUGCUGGUUCUGAAGAGAUAAAAGCCAGAAGAUAGAAAAAUGUGUCAGAUGGUCACUUGCUUGGCCUUUGAUUGUUGUAGAAUUAGGCCUUUCACCGUCUGCAAGUAGUCUAUAAAUACUACCUUCUGCAGAUGGCCUGAUUAAAGAAGAAAAGAGUCUAGUGGGGAGAAUGAAGAGUGGUGCGAGAGUUGGUGAAACUCAUAUUAUGGUCCUUCCUUACUGUUCACAGGGUCACAUAAAUCCAAUGCUCCAAUUCUCCAGGCGCCUAGCCUCCAAAGGUCUCAAGGUCACAUUAGUGAUCCCAAGAGCCUCCAUUUAGAAUGCCCAAGCUAGCUCCAUUAACAUCGAGAUCAUUUGUGAAGGGCUCGAGGAGCGCAAAGAAGAAGAAAGUAUAGAGGACUAUGUGGAGCGUUUUAGAAUGGUAGCUUCACAAAGCUUGGCGGAGCUUAUCAAGAAACAUAGUAGAUCCAGCCAUCCCGCUAAAUUCCUUGUGUAUGACUCAAUGAUGCCAUGGGCACAAGACGUGGCUGAACCACUAGGCCUAGAUGGAGUUCCAUUCUUCACUCAAUCAUGUGCUGUUUCUACCAUCUAUUACCAUUUUAAUCAAGGGAAGUUGAAAACUCCUUUAGAAGGAUAUACGGUAUCAAUUCCUUCAAUGCCACUUUUAUGUAUCAAUGAUCUGCCAUCAUUCAUUAAUGACAAAACUAUACUCGGCUUCCUCUUGAAGCAAUUUUCCAAUUUCCAGAAAGUGAAGUGGAUCUUGUUUAACACUUUUGACAAGUUGGAAGAGGAGGUACUUUCUAUAACCCCCUCUACAUAAUACAAACACAUGCAAUAACCUUCCAUGAUAUAUUUCUAAUUAAAUAAUCGUCUCAUACUGUUAAAUUCUCUGCCUAAAUUCUAUUAGGUGAUGAAGUGGAUGGCAAGCCUGCGACCAAUCAAGACAAUAGGACCUACUGUUCCUUCCAUGUACUUAGACAAGAGGUUGGAGGAAGACAAAGAAUACGGUCUCAGCCUUUUCAAGCAAAAUGUUGACGCCUAUAUUGCAUGGCUGGACUUAAAGGGCAUUGGCUCUGUGGUUUAUGCAUCCUUUGGAAGCAUGGCCUCACUGGGAGAAGAACAGAUGGAGGAAAUAGCAUGGGGCCUGAAAAGGAACAACACCCACUUCAUGUGGGUAGUCAGAGAAUCAGAAGAGAAAAAGCUUCCUUGCAAGUUCUUGGAGGAGACAUGUGAGAAGGGUCUGGUCGUGAGUUGGUGCUCCCAACUAGAAGUUUUAUCUCACAAAGCUGUUGGGUGUUUUAUGAGUCAUUGCGGAUGGAACUCAACUUUGGAGGCACUGAGCUUGGGAGUGCCAAUGAUAGCGAUGCCUCACUUUUCAGAUCAAACAACGAAUGCCAAGUUCAUUGAAGAUGUAUGGGGAGUUGGGGUUAGAGUUAAGCCGGAUGAAAAAGGGCUUGUGAAGAGAGAGGAAAUAGAGAUGUGCAUAAGGGAAAUGAUGCAGGGAGAGAGAGGGAAUGAGAUGAGAAGGAAUGCUGAGAUGUGGAAGGAGUUGGCCAAAGAGGCAGUAACUGAAGGCGGAACCUCCGAUAAGAACAUUGAAGAAUUUGUUGCAGAAAUUUUAUGCAGCUUAGAUUGAAAUCUGUAUGGACACAUCUCAGCUUGUGUUAAUUUUCAAAUAUCUAAGUUGUAAAUAAAAUGCCUAUGGUAAUUUUCAAUGCUUAAUGGCCUCUCUUUAUUAAGUGUGUAAAAAGUUUGAUUCAUUCUAUACUUCCAAG
This 3147-nucleotide long non-coding RNA is filed under the name Vitis vinifera (wine grape). RNAcentral describes it as "long non-coding RNA (VVIN_LNC001637)". The record is from RNAcentral. Lineage: Eukaryota; Viridiplantae; Streptophyta; Magnoliopsida; Vitales; Vitaceae.